This 497-nucleotide ribosomal RNA is filed under the name uncultured bacterium. RNAcentral's name for it is "partial 16S ribosomal RNA". It matches the Rfam family "Bacterial small subunit ribosomal RNA", at positions 28 to 507 of the family's 1533-position model. The record is from RNAcentral.
GAUGAACGCUGGCGGCGUGCCUAAUACAUGCAAGUCGAGCGAACGGACGAGAAGCUUGCUUCUCUGAUGUUAGCGGCGGACGGGUGAGUAACACGUGGAUAACCUACCUAUAAGACUGGGAUAACUUCGGGAAACCGUAGCUAAUACCGGAGAAUAUUUUGAACCGCAUGGUUCAAAAGUGAAAGACGGUCUUGCUGUCACUUAUAGAUGGAUCCGCGCUGCAUUAGCUAGUUGGUAAGGUAACGGCUUACCAAGGCAACGAUGCAUAGCCGACCUGAGAGGGUGAUCGGCCACACUAGAACGGAGACACGGUCCAAACUCCUACGGGAGGCAGCAGUAGGGAAUCUUCCGCAAUGGGCGAAAGCCUGACGGAGCAACGCCGCGUGAGUGAUGAAGGUCUUCGGAUCGUAAAACUCUGUUAUUAGGGAAGAACAUAUGUGUAAGUAACUGUGCACAUCUUGACGGUACCUAAUCAGAAAGCCCCGGCUAACUACGUG